Molecule: transfer RNA, 504 nt
Filed under: Rhodospirillum sp. SL38
Lineage: Bacteria; Pseudomonadati; Pseudomonadota; Alphaproteobacteria; Rhodospirillales; Rhodospirillaceae
Description: 16S-23S ribosomal RNA intergenic spacer
Rfam family: tRNA (bases 135-207)
Source: RNAcentral
GUCGGACGCAGCUGGGAUUAUCCCGGUCAUCACCUUGGUGAUGGGUCCGCCGUCUCCGCAUCCCUUCUCAUGGAUCAGAUAGCUAAGCCCGGUGCUUUGCGCCGGGUUUUGGCUAUUGUGGAUCACCGCUAACUGGGGGCGUAGCUCAGUUGGGAGAGCGCGUGCUUUGCAAGCAUGAGGUCGUCGGUUCGAUCCCGUCCGCCUCCACCAAGUUCCGAUACCAAAUUCUCGGUAUGCGUUGAGCUUGUGUGAGUUGAGCGGUGAAAUGUCCAUGAGAAGCAACAGAUCGGUUGCCUGAAAGGGUGACUGUAGGCAGCAAGGGCUGCCGGUUCUUGAACAUCGUGAAAAAUGGUUUUGUGAAGUGUGACCGAAUGGGUUCCGCUUUGCAGGGAAGGCUGCCUCUUAGCCGAGAGGGCGAGCUUUCUGUCGUGAUCUGGCAACGGAUCAUGACAACUGGAAAAGCGGAUAGUGCUGUUUGUUGUGUUUGCGAUGUGUGGGCUUGUC